CCUUUUAUUUAUAAAUUAAAAUUUGUGAGCAUUUUUUAUAUUUAGUCUAAUUACUAAUUGAUAUUUAAUAAGUAGGCAUGAAUGAAUUUUCUCACUGAACAUUGGUUAUCAACGUUAGCUACUGUAAUGAAUGGUACGAUUGAGUUGAACGAGACUGGUGAAUAAAUCUCUCUAAGCUCAUCCAUGGGUUGAUCGAUGAAACAGUUAUGCAAACAUAUCUUUGAUAACCCGUUUAAAACUUGGAAGGAUAAAUUGCAAAAUAGAAUAGAAAACUGCGUUAAUAUACUUGCUGAUUUUUACAUAAGAUGAGAUUUUUACUGUGUUGGUGGAUAUUUUCAUGGAUAUUCGACAUUGUUGUUUAAUAAGUAUUCAAUAUUACAAAAGUUGAGGAACGUUUAUAAAUUUUAUUGAUGGUGUUCAUAUCAUUAUUACAGUAUAUUUCCAUAGUUUAUUUAAUAAAAGAUAAAUUUGAAUUAAGAUAUCAAAUCAUAAAGAACAAGAAUCUAUUAAUAUUAAAGAAAAUUCUGAUGAUUUAAUGACAAAAAAAAAAAAUUUAUUGCUUUAACCCGCGAUUGUUCAAUGAAGACUAUCAACUUUUGCUCUUAUUCUGCCAGCAGUCUUAAAGACAUAGCGGAUUCAUAUUAAACGUAAUUUCAAAAUUAGUGGGCUGUGUAAUUUUGAUAAUUAUAAUUAUAAACAAUUAAUAACUUUUUAAUCAUUUUUUAGGACAGAGCAUUAGACCUUAAUUAUGCGUUUGGUUCAAACAUGUACUCUGAAUCAUCCCGAAAGUGAUAUUAAAGUAUGGAGAUAAAUAGACAAUUAGUUUUUCUUUGUUUAAUCUACUUAAACAUCUGUUUGAUGAUUUAGCUGAAACAGAUCAACUACUGUGUAAAAAUCAAGACGAUAUUUAAAACAAUGAGACAGGUGCUGGCUUGUUGACAACUUGGAUAUUGAGUGUCGUUAAUUCAAAACAAUUUUUAUUUAACUAUAUAAGACUGACAGGAAUAUACAAUAAAAUGCAAUUUCAAAUAUUCUAAUUUAUAGUAUUUUAUUAUAGGUUUCAAAUUAGUAGAAAAUUAGGAGAUUUACCGAAAAUAGGAGAAAAAUAACCAAGCGAUUGAACUCCAUAAGAAAAAAAAUUUCAGUCUAACAAACUCAGCAUCUUGCGAACAAAACGAAGAUUACUUAAAAAAAAAGUAUUUCAUCUGAAAAUUAAUUUCAUAUCAAUGUAUUAUAGAUUUAAUUUACUACAGGGGAUGCUACGAAUAAGCUUAACAAGAGUAUUUUAAUAAAUUGAUUAAAUAUGAAAGAAUCAAUUGCAAAAUAAAAAAUUGUCCAUCAAAGUAUUUUUUAGCUUUGUCAUUUAGACGCAUUUACAAAGAGGACAAGUACUUUUAUUAAAUAAAUAAUUAAAUGAUCACUGUCUAACCGAAACGAGAGUAAUAACAGGAUAAAGAAUUUCGUAUGCCUAACCCUAUAAAGAAAAAAUGAUUAGUUCGAGAUAAAAAAACACCGUUAUCUUAGAAUUAUGUAAAUGUAAAUUAAAAAAAUGAACUUUUUUUAAUUAAAAUGAAGUUUUAUGAAACCUUUUGAUUAUUUACUUUUAUUAAAAUUACAAAGUUAUUUUUUUUAAUUAAAAGACAAUAUUGAAACUACAAUUAAAAUGUCCAAGAAUGUCAAAUGUAUACACUUUUACUAGAAAAAAAUUUCUUAUUCUACAUAGGUAUGUUUAAUGUCCAUUUUUCAUAACAAAAUUAUGUACAGUGUUUAAUCUCCAUAAUUUUUUAGUGGUUGAUUAAUUUUUAGAAAGAAAUUUCUUUCAUCAUAAUUAACAAUUUUCAAUGAAAAAAAUUACAAAACACGAUACAUAAAAAAAAAUCUGCACAUUUUUUGAGGUUAACUAAUAGUUUAUCAACAAUCAUAUAUACUUAUAUACAUUUUUAACAGAAUUAUAAACAGGCCUAUCAUUUUAGCAAAGAAACAAAUUAAAAACAGUUGUAUGAUAUACACACCCACACACAUAUGUACAUAUAAGUUAAAUUCAUAUGUAAUUAAAGCAAUUACUCUUUUUGUUUACUCUACAAACAGCUUUAUGAGUUAAGUGCAUAUAUUGGACGUCAUGCAAGUAAAUGGACUAUAUAGACAUUAGAUGUUUUUCGAUGAUUAUUAAUAAGUACAUUAUUUAUUAAUAAUGAUUCUUUUACUUUAAUCAUUUUCCUUUAAUCAUAAAACCGUCAACCAUUUAGCAUUUCAAAAAGUUUGUUAAAGAAGCUUUAAUUUCAUUCUUGUUUAUUUUAGAAACAAUGAAGAUAAUCCUUGAAAAUGAUGGAAAGUAAUUUUUGGUUAACGCCAGAAAAAUAAUCUAGAAAAAUUACUUUAAUUUUCUAAUAAUUAAGAUAUAUGAACAAAAGAGUUCUGUAUUUUUCAUAACGGUAAAAAGGUGGAUUGUAUCCACUAAUUAACAUAAUUAAUAAAAUGUUGACUUAUACUUAAUUCAUAUUUAUUGAAAUAACAUUAUUGACUUAGUGAGUGCACCGAGCUCUCCGGUUACCUGACAUGAAAAUUAACUUAGCUUAAAUUGUGGCCAAGAAAAAUUAUAAUAAAAAACUGAAAUGUA
This 2617-nucleotide long non-coding RNA is filed under the name Cotesia glomerata. RNAcentral describes it as "uncharacterized LOC123267465". The record is from RNAcentral. Lineage: Eukaryota; Metazoa; Arthropoda; Insecta; Hymenoptera; Braconidae.